This 253-nucleotide ribosomal RNA is filed under the name uncultured bacterium. RNAcentral's name for it is "partial 16S ribosomal RNA". It matches the Rfam family "Bacterial small subunit ribosomal RNA", at positions 524 to 776 of the family's 1533-position model. The record is from RNAcentral.
UACAGAGGUCUCAAGCGUUGUUCGGAUUUAUUGGGCGUAAAGGGUGUGUAGGUGGUCUUGUUAGUCUUCUGUGAAAUUCUUCGGCUUAACCGGGGGUCCGCAGGGGAAACGGCAGGACUAGAGGAUGCGAGAGGUGUGCGGAACUCAUGGUGUAGGGGUGAAAUCCGUUGAUAUCAUGGGGAACACCGAAAGCGAAGGCAGCACACUGGCGCACUCCUGACACUGAAACACGAAAGCGUGGGUAGCGAAUGGG